GUGUCAGCAGCCGCGGUAAUACGUAGGGUGCGAGCGUUAAUCGGAAUUACUGGGCGUAAAGCGUGCGCAGGCGGUUUUAUAAGCCAGAUGUGAAAGCCCCGGGCUCAACCUGGGAAUGGCAUUUGGGACUGUAAGGCUGGAGUAUGGCAGAGGAGACUAGAAUUCCUGGUGUAGCAGUGAAAUGCGUAGAUAUCAGGAGGAAUACCGAUGGCGAAGGCAGGUCUCUGGGCCAAUACUGACGCUCAUGCACGAAAGCGUGGGGAGCAAACAGGAUUAGAUACCCCUGUAGUCC
This 292-nucleotide ribosomal RNA is filed under the name uncultured bacterium. RNAcentral describes it as "partial 16S ribosomal RNA". It matches the Rfam family "Bacterial small subunit ribosomal RNA", at positions 505 to 796 of the family's 1533-position model. The record is from RNAcentral.